RNAcentral lists this ribosomal RNA (540 nucleotides) under Triticum aestivum (bread wheat). RNAcentral describes it as "partial small subunit ribosomal RNA". The record is from RNAcentral. Lineage: Eukaryota; Viridiplantae; Streptophyta; Magnoliopsida; Poales; Poaceae.
AUGUCCAUUAUGAAAUUUCCUAAGUGGGCAAUUGAUGCUAUUACUUCACAAAUGUCUCACUUUUUCUGGGGCAAUGUUGGGGAUACCUAUAAAUAUCAUCUAGCCAAGUGGGGGCUGGUCUCUCAAAAGAAAGAGUGGGGUGGCUUGGGUGUCCCUAAUCUUAGGGAGUUUAAUAUGUCCUUACUUGUUGCUUGGAGCAAACGUUUCUUUGAUGAUAAAGAUAGUGACUGGAAGAAAUUACUUAGUUAUAAGUAUAAUGUGGAUAGGCCAAAUAUCCUUUGGUCCAGAACUGGGGUGGGCUCUCCCUUCUGGAAGAGCUUUGCCUGGGCCUUUUCUGCUGCUAAGACUUUUUAUAGGUGGAUCCCUAGGGAUGGGAGGAAUAUUUCUUUCUGGCAUGAUACCUGGGUGGGUGAAUUUUCACCCAAGACUAGAUUCUGGGACCUGUUUGUUAUUUGUCAGCAACAAGAUGCCUCAUUGGCCCAGGUUUGGGAUGGGGAGAAUUUACAGUUGACCUUUAGGAGAUGUGUGCUCCUGGAAUGA